Small nuclear RNA from Erinaceus europaeus (western European hedgehog), 107 nucleotides. NCBI's taxonomy places the organism in Eukaryota, Metazoa, Chordata, Mammalia, Eulipotyphla, Erinaceidae. The record is from Ensembl.
GUGCUUGAUCCCACAACACCUAUAUUAAAAUUGGAAUGCUACAGAGAAGAUUCACAUGGUCUCUGUACAUGAAUGACAUGCAAAUUUGUGAAGUGUUGUGUAUUACC